CCUACGGGGUGCAGCAGUGAGGAAUAUUGGUCAAUGGUCGGGAGACUGAACCAGCCAAGCCGCGUGAGGGAGGAAGGUACAGAGUAUCGUAAACCUCUUUUGUCAGGGAACAAGGGCGGGGACGUGUUCCCGGGUGAGUGUACCUGAAGAAAAAGCAUCGGCUAACUCCGUGCCAUCCGCCGCGGUAAUACGGAGGAUGCGAGCGUUGUUCGGAUUUAUUGGGUUUAAAGGUGGCGGAGGGGGUUUGUUAAGUCCAGGGCGAAAGCCAGGGGCACAACCCAGGCCGGGCCGUUGAAACUGGCAGUCUUGAGUUUGAGAGAGGUAUGCGGAAUGCGCGGUGUAGCGGUGAAAUGCAUAGAUAUCGCGCAGAACUCCGAUUGCGAAGGCAGCAUGCCGGCUCCACACUGACGCUGAGGCACGAAAGCGUGGGUAUCGAACAGGAUUAGAUACCCUUGUAGUC
This 460-nucleotide ribosomal RNA is filed under the name uncultured bacterium. RNAcentral's name for it is "partial 16S ribosomal RNA". It matches the Rfam family "Bacterial small subunit ribosomal RNA", at positions 338 to 795 of the family's 1533-position model. The record is from RNAcentral.